Molecule: long non-coding RNA, 330 nt
Organism: Leptinotarsa decemlineata (Colorado potato beetle)
Lineage: Eukaryota; Metazoa; Arthropoda; Insecta; Coleoptera; Chrysomelidae
Source: RefSeq, a predicted model, not a curated record
AUGAUAAAUCUUCGACAUAAAUUGCAUAUACUAUAAUAGCCAUAUUUCCUUGAAGGGAUCGAUAUAAUUUUCAAAACAAUUUGGCAAAAUUAUCUAGGCGAGUGCUCUGACUUUAAAUCAUGACAUGUUAAAUCUGACAAAAUGUCAAAAGUAUUGAAUUCCGUGAAUUUUAUCAGAUAUCCAAAACGAAUAUUGACGGAGAACCAAAAAAAGUAUCUGACCCAUCGAUAUGACCAUUUGGUUCCGAAGAAAUUGCUACCACUCUGGCACCAUCCAGCAGGAAGAAUAAUAUUUUGAACGAGAAGAAGAAGAAGAGUAACAUUCCAAAUC